Dipodomys ordii (Ord's kangaroo rat) is the source of this 65-nucleotide non-coding RNA. NCBI's taxonomy places the organism in Eukaryota, Metazoa, Chordata, Mammalia, Rodentia, Heteromyidae. The record is from Rfam.
GGUGGCUCAGUGGUAGAGUGCUUGCCUUGCAUGCAUGAGGUUCUGGGUUCAAUUCCUCAGCACCA